GACGAACGCUGGCGGCGUGCCUAAUACAUGCAAGUUGAGCGCUGAAGGUUGGUACUUGUACCAACUGGAUGAGCAGCGAACGGGUGAGUAACGCGUGGGGAAUCUGCCUUUGAGCGGGGGACAACAUUUGGAAACGAAUGCUAAUACCGCAUAAAAACUUUAAACACAAGUUUUAAGUUUGAAAGAUGCAAUUGCAUCACUCAAAGAUGAUCCCGCGUUGUAUUAGCUAGUUGGUGAGGUAAAGGCUCACCAAGGCGAUGAUACAUAGCCGACCUGAGAGGGUGAUCGGCCACAUUGGGACUGAGACACGGCCCAAACUCCUACGGGAGGCAGCAGUAGGGAAUCUUCGGCAAUGGACGAAAGUCUGACCGAGCAACGCCGCGUGAGUGAAGAAGGUUUUCGGAUCGUAAAACUCUGUUGGUAGAGAAGAACGUUGGUGAGAGUGGAAAGCCCAUCAAGUGACGGUAACUACACAGAAAGGGACGGCUAACUACGUG
This 497-nucleotide ribosomal RNA is filed under the name uncultured bacterium. Its description in RNAcentral is "partial 16S ribosomal RNA". It matches the Rfam family "Bacterial small subunit ribosomal RNA", at positions 28 to 507 of the family's 1533-position model. The record is from RNAcentral.